AGAGUUUGAUCAUGGCUCAGGACAAACGCUGGCGGCGUGCCUAAUACAUGCAAGUCGAGCGACGAAAGCCUUCGGGUGAGUAAGAGCGGCGCACGGGAGAGGAAUACGUAGAUAAUCUGCCUUUUGUUGGGGAAUAACUUUCCGAAAGGAAAACUAAUACCGCAUAAGACCACAGGAUCUGAGGAUCUAGGGGUUAAAGGAGUAAUUCGACAAAAGAUGAGUCUGCGUCCGAUUAGCUAGUUGGUGAGGUAAUGGCUUACCAAGGCAAUGAUCGGUAGCUGGUCUGAGAGGAUGAUCAGCCUCACUGGAACUGAGACACGGUCCAGACUCCUACGGGAGGCAGCAGUAGGGAAUAUUGGACAAUGGGGGAAACCCUGAUCCAGCAACGCCGCGUGAGUGAUGAAGGCCUUCGGGUCGUAAAGCUCUGUCGUAAGGGAAAAAACAAAUGAUUGUACCUUACAAGAAAGGACCGGCCAACUUCGUGCCAGCAGCCGCGGUAAUACGGGGGGUCCAAGCGUUGUUCGGAAUCACUGGGCGUAAAGCGCGCGUAGGUGGCUUUUCAAGUCUGUUGUGAAAGCCCAGGGCCUAACCCUGGAAGUGCAGCAGAUACUGUUAAGCUUGAGUAUGGGAGAGGAUAGUGGAAUUCCUGGUGUAGUGGUGAAAUACGUAGAUAUCAGGAGGAACACCGGUGGCGAAGGCGGCUAUCUGGCCCAAUACUGACACUAAAGUGCGAAAGCGUGGGGAUCAAACAGAUUAGAUACCCUAGUAGUCC
This 772-nucleotide ribosomal RNA is filed under the name uncultured bacterium. Its description in RNAcentral is "bacterial SSU rRNA". It matches the Rfam family "Bacterial small subunit ribosomal RNA", at positions 8 to 796 of the family's 1533-position model. The record is from RNAcentral.